CGGGGCGUAGCGCAGUCUGGUAGCGUACUUGCAUGGGGUGCAAGGGGUCGAGUGUUCGAAUCACUCCGUCCCGACCA
Molecule: transfer RNA, 77 nt
Filed under: Lautropia mirabilis
Lineage: Bacteria; Pseudomonadati; Pseudomonadota; Betaproteobacteria; Burkholderiales; Burkholderiaceae
Also listed under: 3 other names
Description: tRNA-Pro
Rfam family: tRNA
About the family: Transfer RNA (tRNA) molecules are approximately 80 nucleotides in length. Their secondary structure includes four short double-helical elements and three loops (D, anti-codon, and T loops). Further hydrogen bonds mediate the characteristic L-shaped molecular structure. tRNAs have two regions of fundamental functional importance: the anti-codon, which is responsible for specific mRNA codon recognition, and the 3' end, to which the tRNAs corresponding amino acid is attached (by aminoacyl-tRNA synthetases). tRNAs cope with the degeneracy of the genetic code in two manners: having more than one tRNA (with a specific anti-codon) for a particular amino acid; and 'wobble' base-pairing, i.e. permitting non-standard base-pairing at the 3rd anti-codon position.
Source: RNAcentral